GAUGAACGCUAGCGGCAGGCUUAACACAUGCAAGUCGAGGGGUAUAGUUCUUCGGAAUUAGAGACCGGCGCACGGGUGCGUAACGCGUAUGCAAUCUACCUUUCACAGAGGGAUAGCCCCAGAGAAAUUUGGAUUAAUACCUCAUAGUAUAGCAGUUUCGCAUGAAACCACUAUUAAAGUCACAACGGUGAAAGAUGAGCAUGCGUCCCAUUAGCUAGUUGGUAAGGUAACGGCUUACCAAGGCAACGAUGGGUAGGGGUCCUGAGAGGGAGAUCCCCCACACUGGUACUGAGACACGGACCAGACUCCUACGGGAGGCAGCAGUGAGGAAUAUUGGACAAUGGGCGCAAGCCUGAUCCAGCCAUGCCGCGUGCAGGAUGACGGUCCUAUGGAUUGUAAACUGCUUUUGUACAGGAAGAAACACUACUUUCGUGAAGUAGCUUGACGGUACUGUAAGAAUAAGGAUCGGCUAACUCCGUGCCAGCAG
This 487-nucleotide ribosomal RNA is filed under the name uncultured bacterium. RNAcentral's name for it is "bacterial SSU rRNA". It matches the Rfam family "Bacterial small subunit ribosomal RNA", at positions 28 to 514 of the family's 1533-position model. The record is from RNAcentral.